Molecule: ribosomal RNA, 508 nt
Filed under: uncultured bacterium
Lineage: Bacteria
Description: partial 16S ribosomal RNA
Rfam family: Bacterial small subunit ribosomal RNA
Source: RNAcentral
GACGAACGCUGGCGGCGUGCUUAACACAUGCAAGUCGAACGGGCCUUGUCCCCUUUUUUUUUGGGGGUGGGGUUAGUGGCGAACGGGUGAGUAACACGUGAGUAACCUGCCCCUCACUUCUGGAUAACCGCUUGAAAGGGUGGCUAAUACGGGGUGUUCUGGCCUGCUCGCAUGGGUGGGUUUGGAAAGAUUCGACCGGUUUUGGUUGUUUUGGUGGGGGAUGGGCUCGCGGCCUAUCAGCUUGUUGGUGGGGUGAUGGCCUGCCAAGGCUUUGACGGGUAGCCGGCCUGAGAGGGUGGGCGGUCACACUGGGACUGAGACACAGCCCAGACUCCUACGGGAGGCAGCAGUGGGGAAUAUUGCACAAUGGGCGCAAGCCUGAUGCAGCGACGCCGCGUGAGGGAUGGAGGCCUUCGGGUUGUGAACCUCUUUCGCCAGUGAAGAAGGUCCUGCUCUUUGUGGUGGGGUUGACGGUAGCUGGGUUAAUGAAGCGCCGGCUAACUACGUG